Long non-coding RNA from Capsicum annuum, 502 nucleotides. RefSeq lists it as uncharacterized. NCBI's taxonomy places the organism in Eukaryota, Viridiplantae, Streptophyta, Magnoliopsida, Solanales, Solanaceae. The transcript has 2 exons. The record is from RefSeq and is a predicted model, not a curated record.
UCUUUAGUUAUAAAUAGCAUUACUUCAAAAUCUAUCACCCACAAACAAAAGUCUUAAAAAAAACAGAAUGCAUAUAUUACAAAUUAUGAAUUUCACAAAGAUUUUAACAUGGACAUUUCUUAUUAUGAUUUUUGUAGCAAAUAGUAAUGCUGUUAGUGGAAAGAAACUUUGUGCAUUAAAAUGUGCAAUCAAAUGUUUCCACAAUCCUGUCUGCAUAGCAAUGUGCUUGAAGGAUUGCUAUCCUCUUAUAUCUUCUAAAGCAUUCAAUUGUACGCUUGCUUGUUCAAUGGAACGCUGCUCCAAAUUUAAAGAAGAUGAUGAGCUAAUGGGCGGCUGCUGGGAUGAAUGCUCAAAAAAAUACUGUAUCUAAUUAGAAAGGCUUGAACUAUUAUGCUAUUUGUUUAGUAAAAGCAAACUAGAAAAGAAUCUUGAUGAAUCAAAUGUGAUCAAGAUUUAUGUUGUUAAUGAAGUACAAUAGUAACUUUGAAUUCUCCAUCUCUAA